GGAUGAACAACUUGCAUUGCAUGUGCAGAUUAAAGGAAAAAAAAGGGAUGCACAUACUCUCAGUCUCAGAUGGUGUUAUGUGGGCCCUGCCGCCCAUGUUCUUCCAUUUUCUUUCUCAUCUUGUAUUGCAAAGUUGGAGGAGCACAGUCCAGCGGAGUUUCCCCUUGUGCAUUCUUGUAGUCCAGGCUUGCUCCAGAUUCC
Molecule: unclassified non-coding RNA, 201 nt
Filed under: Hevea brasiliensis (rubber tree)
Lineage: Eukaryota; Viridiplantae; Streptophyta; Magnoliopsida; Malpighiales; Euphorbiaceae
Source: RNAcentral